This 85-nucleotide transfer RNA is filed under the name Felis catus (domestic cat). It matches the Rfam family "tRNA". From Rfam's summary of the family: Transfer RNA (tRNA) molecules are approximately 80 nucleotides in length. The record is from Rfam by way of RNAcentral. Lineage: Eukaryota; Metazoa; Chordata; Mammalia; Carnivora; Felidae.
GCCUGGGUGGCUUAGUCGGUUGAGCAUCCAACUUUGGUUCAGGUCAUGAUCUCUUGGUUUGUGAGUUCGAGUCCCACUUUGGGCU